This 231-nucleotide ribosomal RNA is filed under the name uncultured Alicycliphilus sp. Its description in RNAcentral is "partial 16S ribosomal RNA". It matches the Rfam family "Bacterial small subunit ribosomal RNA", at positions 550 to 774 of the family's 1533-position model. The record is from RNAcentral. Lineage: Bacteria; Pseudomonadati; Pseudomonadota; Betaproteobacteria; Burkholderiales; Comamonadaceae.
AGCUGAUCAUUGGGCGUAAAGUGUGCGCAGGCGGUUUUGUAAGACAGAGGUGAAAUCCCCGGGCUCAACCUGGGAACUGCCUUUGUGACUGCAAGGCUGGAGUGCGGCAGAGGGGGAUGGAAUUCCGCGUGUAGCAGUGAAAUGCGUAGAUAUGCGGAGGAACACCGAUGGCGAAGGCAAUCCCCCUGGGCCUGCACUGACGCUCAUGCACGAAAGCGUGGGGAGCAAACA